GACGAACGCUGGCGGCGUGCUUAACACAUGCAAGUCGAACGGAAAGGCCCUGCUUGCAGGGUACUCGAGUGGCGAACGGGUGAGUAACACGUGGGUGAUCUGCCCUGCACUUCGGGAUAAGCCUGGGAAACUGGGUCUAAUACCGGAUAGGAGCCAUUUUUAGUGGGAUGGUUGGAAAGUUUUUUCGGUGUAGGAUGAGCUCGCGGCCUAUCAGCUUGUUGGUGGGGUAAUGGCCUACCAAGGCGGCGACGGGUAGCCGGCCUGAGAGGGUGGACGGCCACAUUGGGACUGAGAUACGGCCCAGACUCCUACGGGAGGCAGCAGUGGGGAAUAUUGCACAAUGGGCGCAAGCCUGAUGCAGCGACGCCGCGGGGGGGAUGACGGCCUUCGGGUUGUAAACUCCUUUCGCUAGGGACGAAGCUUUUUGUGACGGUACCUAGAUAAGAAGCACCGGCUAACUACGUG
This 465-nucleotide ribosomal RNA is filed under the name uncultured bacterium. RNAcentral's name for it is "partial 16S ribosomal RNA". It matches the Rfam family "Bacterial small subunit ribosomal RNA", at positions 28 to 507 of the family's 1533-position model. The record is from RNAcentral.